Molecule: ribosomal RNA, 562 nt
Filed under: uncultured bacterium
Lineage: Bacteria
Description: bacterial SSU rRNA
Rfam family: Bacterial small subunit ribosomal RNA
Source: RNAcentral
AACGAACGCUGGCGGCAGGCUUAACACAUGCAAGUCGAACGAGAAGCUUUCCUUCGGGAAGGUGGACAGUGGCAGACGGGUGAGUAACGCGUGGGAAUCUACCCAGUGGUACGGAAUAACUCAGGGAAACUUGGGCUAAUACCGUAUGUGCCCUCCGGGGGAAAGAUUUAUCGCCAUUGGAUGAGCCCGCGUCUGAUUAGCUAGUUGGUGGGGUAAUAGCCUACCAAGGCGACGAUCAGUAGCUGGUUUGAGAGAGCGACCAGCCACACUGGGACUGAGACACGGCCCAGACUCCUACGGGAGGCAGCAGUGGGGAAUAUUGGACAAUGGGGGCAACCCUGAUCCAGCCAUGCCGCGUGCGUGAAGAAGGCCUUAGGGUUGUAAAGCGCUUUCACUGGUGAAGAUGAUGACGGUAGCCAGAGAAGAAGCCCCGGCUAACUACGUGCCAGCAGCCGCGGUAAUACGGAAGGGGCGAGCGUUGUUCGGAAUUAUUGGGCGUAAAGGGCGUGUAGGCGGCUUCGUAUGUCUGGGGUGAAAUCUUGCAGCUCAACUGCAUCGAGCC